UAGAAUUGACGGGGCCGCACAAGCGGAGGAACAUGUGGUUUAAUUCGAUGAUACGCGAGGAACCUUACCUGGGCUUAAAUGUAGAGUGCAUUUUUAGAGAUAGAAAUUCCCUUCGGGGCUUUCUGCAAGGUGCUGCAUGGUUGUCGUCAGCUCGUGCCGUGAGGUGUCGGGUUAAGUCCCAUAACGAGCGCAACCCUUAUCGUUAGUUGCCAUCUGGUAAUGCAGGGGACUCUAGCGAAACUGCCACCGUAAGGUGAGAGGAAGGUGGGGAUGACGUCAAAUCAGCACGGCCCUUAUGUCCAGGGCUACACACGUGUUACAAUGGCCGGUACAGAGGGCAGCUACCUGGAGACAGGAUGCGAAUCUCGAAAGCCGGUCUCAGUUCGGAUCGGAGUCUGCAACUCGGCUCCGUGAAGCUGGAUUCGCUAGUAAUCGCGCAUCAGCCAUGGCGCGGUGAAUACGUUCCCGGGCCUU
Molecule: ribosomal RNA, 474 nt
Filed under: uncultured Sphingobacteriales bacterium
Lineage: Bacteria; Pseudomonadati; Bacteroidota; Sphingobacteriia; Sphingobacteriales
Description: bacterial SSU rRNA
Rfam family: Bacterial small subunit ribosomal RNA
Source: RNAcentral